Molecule: long non-coding RNA, 8248 nt
Organism: Thunnus maccoyii (southern bluefin tuna)
Lineage: Eukaryota; Metazoa; Chordata; Actinopteri; Scombriformes; Scombridae
Exons: 4
Source: RefSeq, a predicted model, not a curated record
UGUCACUUGAAGUGGAAAACCCACUAAGAAUUAUCUCCAACUCUGCAGUUGCCCUCAUUUCUAUAUAGCGCUUUAUCGUCUUUUAGCUCAUCGUUUUCGGGAAGCUGUAUUCAGGAAAAAAGCUCUAAUCAACCCACUGUACACUACCUACCUAGCACUGAACACACAGACACAGUUGGCGACUAGCUGGUAAAGCUAGUGGAGCAUUUAGCUGCUGAACAUAUUUUUCUCAGGAGUUGGUAGAGACUAAUCCAAAGCUAAAAGAAGAGUGAAUUUAGACUUUUAUUCACCAGGUGGCUAGAAACACGACUCUAAAUGAAUUGUAAUGUUGCACUGUAUCUGCUGAAUGCUAAGUAAGCUACUACUAGCUAAAAUGCUCACCAUAUCAACUUAAUCAGGUGAUGAUAUGUCAAUGCUGUGUUUAGAGCCUGUUUCUACUGUUACUGAAACUACUGUUUAGUCCAAUAACAAACCUAUGAUGUUGUCUUUAAUGUCAGGCUCAGCCAUGUGUUUCAUCAUGUUAAAUGUACUGAAAUAUUGCUGCUGGUCCAAGAGGUUUUCUGAGAGAAAAUUCUUGACCCACAAGUCUGCAGCACAGAUGAAAAGGUUUGUUCUCACAAGUAGCGAAAGUGGUGAUCAUUUAACUACAGAAAAACCAUAUCAAACUACUUGUGAUAAAACCAGACACAUCCGUUUUUCCUAAAACAUCCCAAAAGUUCUCUUAAAUUUGCUUCUAGCCCUCAUUGGCUAACUGAUGGUGGAUAUCCAAAGGGUAAACUAUGAAUGCUGGACCCAAAAUCCAUGAGGAAAAGACCACAAUUUGUGGCUGAGGGGGAAAAAAACAGCCUAUCAAGCUCAAAGACUAUGUAGCCUAUAUAAUGAAGGUAAAUGAAAUUCUACCUAAACUCCACAUUUACUUAUACUUAAGUUUUACCUUUGGUGUCACCUUCCACAGUUAAUUGUUAUCCCAACCCAAUCCCCAGGCAUUUGUGUGUAACACUAAUACAGAAACAGAUUCCCUCAUGUGUUGUGCACAAAAUGGCCUUGCAUUACCUCCUUCAGUCCCUUAGUUCCAUUGUUUCUGCUAUUUCGAUGACUUUGCAUUGAGUUUUAGCAGGGAAUUCAAAGAACAAAUCAAGCAGAUAAGAAAGAGGUGUGAGGAAGAAAGGCUUUUUAAAGACAUACAGGAGUUGCAUAAGAUACUCCUGCAGUAUGCAUGAGGUUGCAGUGACUAGUGUGUUCAGGUCUUCAAUGGAUUCCAAUGAAAUGAUCUGCUGGUGUAUUUUACUGAUCUCAAGGCUUUUAGCCUCUGGGUGUUCACCAGUUUUAAUUAGAGCUCAAUGAUUGGAUCAAUCAACCCAUCAAUCAAUUAUUUUAACCAAUCAUUUGUAAAGUCAUUUGUUACAGCUCACCACCUUCAUCCAGUGCCAAGAGGGACGCUGCCAAACAACAACAUAAGUUAGGGUAAAAGAGCAAAGGAAAGUCAGAAGAAUAUGCUGGUGCUAUUGUGCAUACAAAUAAAUCAAAGCAAAGUUGUCAAUAUAAAAAUGCCAAUGGUAGCACCUUUUGAGGUGGACAAAGACAAAAAGACAUGCAGUCUUAUAGGGCAAUGUAGAAAAGAUCAAUAAAUGGAAUUGAAAUCUAUUGCUGAGCCAGUGGUUGGGUCAACAAUUUGGACUGAGAUCUAUGGAUCUGACUCCUUUGAAGUUGGCACACAGGGCUGCAGAGGUGGAGAUUGCGGUUUCUUCACAAUCUGUUCACUCAGUGUUUUCUGUUAACUAUUCUUCUGUUUUUGUGUGAGGCUCUGACUUAAUAUGGGCCCCCUGACCUAAUGUACCCUUCUGGACCCUUCAGGUCAUGUGGCCACUGGCAAAAAACACAUCAGACGCUCAGGAAGCUUGUAAACAAACCAAGAGUUUAGUCAGAUUAGCCCUUUAUUUUAAGAUACUCUAAAAGUGACUGAACUCAAAAUGUCUUCGAUAUUUGACUGUAUAACAACAAUAAAUAUGGUUGGUCAAAGUUGAAACAGGAAGCCACAAGACAGAAACCAUUUUGGUCGAGGGAAUAAUAAUACUGGGGGAAGGGAUAUCCUACAGUGCUAUGCUUUGCUGAUGAGCAUAAUGUAUGUUCUGGAUCUGAGCUAUCCCUAAGAACUUAGGGAGGAAUUUAACUUCUGUUAAUAUGAUUUCUUAAACUUAGGUCAUCUAUGUAGUAGAAAUGUGCAAUUAUCUUCAAAAUUGGUGCCAUAUGACUUUAGAAAACUGAGAAAAAGGCAAUAGAUUCCUCUAUCGCUUUAAAGGGGGACAUCCUACAACAACCAGAAUGCAUUGUGUGUGGUCCCGUCCAAAGCUACUGUUGGUUUGUUUAUGGAACGCAGGAGGGGAAUUCGUUUCCAGGCUUAUUUUCAUUGACAAAACAUUUUCCUUAUUGAGUCUGGUUAUAUCGUACCAGUAUGCAAGGCUAACAGCACAAUAGUGGGCCUCGUAACAGUAGCACCACAUCUGAUUCCAACAUCAUAUCAUGAAACUAGUUGUAUUCCAAGUAUACCAUGAAAUACUUACUACCUACCAGUAGGUGAAAGGAUGACUUAAAUGGAAUAGAGAGAUAACACAUUGUGUUUAGGAGAGACCUAUACACUGUUUUUACAUAUGAAAUAAUUAUAGGGUUCAGACAGGGGCCACACAAGUAUAGCCUUUGUCCUUUAAUACAUUAUAAAAAAGAGCCAAACUUUAUGCAGAACUAGGUCCUUUUCUUCUAGAGUUUUCUUUAUAUUCUUCUUUAUGGCUAUAUAUCUUUAUAGCUAUAUUUAUAAAAGCACACUCUUCUUCCUGUGAUUGCCACACCACACACUAAUUGCAUUGUUUGUUCUAAAAGAUGUUGUCUUUGUUUUUUAACCUUUAUUUAAUCAGGGAAGAUUCACUGAGAGGAAGCUCCUGUUUUUCUGACACUGAUGAAAUUAAUUAAUUUAUGUUUGUUCAAUGACAACAAAGUUUAACAAACCUUUUUAAACUGCUCAUUUUCCCAGAUGAAGAAUCCCUUACGUUGGCUAUUAAAGAGUAGUAAACAAGAUAAGUACUGAGCAAGACAUUUUAUGGUUAAAAAGUAACCUGAAAGAAAAAAUACCAGGAAAUUUUUUAGCACUACAUGUUACAAAAAAUGUUAAAUGUAUGUUUAAACAAAAGAAGAAGUUUUCUGUGUGAAAUGUUACAUUAUGGAUGGUGGGAGGGACUGUAGAUAACAGACAAAGGAGAAGAAUGUUUUGGUGUGUCUUAUUUACUACUUCGUGAUUUUUGUCUGUUUUGUGAGGCUUCCUCAUUAUUAUUCUUUGGAAAUUCUUGGAGAUGCAAUUACUUUGAUUCCAUCACCCUAAAAUGUGGUCAGAUCACUGAACAAGUGCAGACGAAUCAGUUACCCGAAUCAUCAUCAUGCAAGUCCACUGUUACAACAGCUAUUAUCCCUUCAACAGCCAUCCAACAACUGCAUAACUUUACUAAAUGCACAGUUAUUUUCGAAAACAGCAUAAUCAUUUUGACAUUUAUUAAUUCAGUUCCAUAGUGCCUAAGUAAACAGCCCAUUUCGGAUGUCUUUUCGGCCAUUUUUCCUCAUUGCUGUACAGUUUUUAAUAUUUAAAUUUAUAAUGUUUCAUUUUGUUUUAUUCAUUAUCAUUCAUGUGUUCUACUGUAAUUUGUGAUUUGCACCCUCAUUUGUUCUACAUGAAUAUAUAUUACUAUUUUUACUUGCAUUUGAAUAUAUAAAUAGUUUUCAAAAUCAAAAUGUGCAUAAUAUUCUAAUAUGCUCUCAAUGUUUAUGAUUGAAGGUGUUCUUAGUUUCAGAGCUUGACAUUAAAGCCUGGAUAGUAGUUUGUAAUUUAAUUUUCUUGAUAAAUGUACUGUGGCUGUUCUUCGCCUUCACAGCUUUCAGCUCUAAUCUUCCCCAUAUUUACAUUGAGUAUAUAUAUAUGUUGUAUACACUGAAUUUGUAAUAGAGACAAACCUCAAAUAAUGUGAAAUCUUUGUGAAUGUUUCUGGCGUCUUUCUGAUGUGAGCACAUAUGGACAAAGAGGAAGCUGCCCACAUGGAAGUGGUUGGUUGGCAGUGAGUAUAUAACAACCUGUGUGUUUCACAGCUGUAUCAUACUCUUCAGUUCAUCAGCCAUGGACAGUAGUGUGCUGCUGGUUCUGUUGUGUCUGCAGGCUUUUCCUGCUCAUCACAGCCUUCACUUCUGUAGAUGCAGCCGCUCUGGUGACAGAUGAUCCACAACACCAAUCUCUUGAUUUGGUAAGAAGAUCCACUGCUGGAAGCUGACUGCAAGGAGCUUUUCUUGAGUUGUAAGAAGAUUUGUGGUUCACAUGUGGUAUUUUCCAAUUGGACUGUUAAGUUGUGAAUGUCAAACAUGUUGCUGAGACACAGCUGCAAAACAAAAGGUUUUAAUUGUUUUUAAAUUGCAGCAAUUCUAUUAUUAAUUGGGAAAUUACAAAUAUAACAAUUAUGGCAAAACACUGGAAGAAGGUUGUCUGAAAUAAUGCAUUGUGUAUUCUAAUUUUCUCACAGGAAGGAAGUGUGUAAAAAAAGGAAUCGGAAAGUUUACAGUUCUGACCAGGAAAAACUGUAGGCAAAUUCCACGUUUAGCCCGCCCUAAUGACCUUAACAUUAGUGAUUAGCCUAAUAGAUAACUUAAUGUUAUUGCUGAUAAGGAGACAGAAAGGUAAUUGCUAACCUUACAUCUUUUUAUUAGUCUUUUCAUUAAAGUGGCCUCAAAUUAAACGUUUAGCCUGACCUAAUGCCCAAAUGUAGAGCUGAAUACAAGCGAACUAGCUAACGUUAACCUUAAUUUCAAACAGAUCAAGAAAUCUGAAAACGUGCCUCAGCAAUGCUGAGUGGUUUCCCUGCACUGCCCCAUCCAUAAAUAGGACCAACCAUGAAUUGAUGGUAAGAGCUAUGGGUUGUCUUCUGAUAAACCCCAUAUACAUCAAUGUCUUCCUUCAAAUUCUUUUAAGCUUCCAAGCUUUUUUCCUAGCUUUAAACUGAGGCUCAUCUGACAACACAACAACAUAUUGUCCCAUUAUCCAUAGUGGGUACUGUGAUAUGCCUAUACAAACUCUUCAAUGUUAGUAUUCAACCAAGAGGACAUAUUUCAUUUGGUCUUUUAAAAUAACAUCUUGUUGCCUUUGUGUUGAAGUACUUCUUACCAAAGGAUUAUCAGUACCAUGUAUGUAGGUACAAAGCUGUGAGCCAAUCCUGCAGUGACCAUAUCAGUUUUGAGGCCAUAGUGUGGAUGUCCCUUCAACCAAAGGAGGAGGACCCGGUGUGGCUGAAGUCCAUGGCAGUUACAUGGAGAGUGGCCUACACCAGGCCCACUAAAGGACAGAAGAUCAUCUUCAAAACUGAUGGAUGAAGCCGUGGAUGACGAUCAUUUGGGUUCACGUGGUGGUUGUCAGGCAUGAUAGUAUGCCCCAUCCAACGAAGAUGUUUUUUGGCACUGCUGCUUCCACACAGAUGGAGUUGGUCAUGGAAAGAAUCUUAGUAUGGGGAAUUCAAUCUUCCCAAGACAGACCAAGGAUCUUUUGAAGGCAUCGGAAGUGGAAGACCUCCAAGUUUGUGAUAUGCCGUCUGUAUAGGGUCCAUGUUUCUGCCCCAUAGAGCAGAGUGGAGGCACAUACUGCAUUGUACCACAGAAACCUUGGUGCUGACCUUCAGGCUUUUGUUUUCGAAAACCCUUCUGCAGAGGCGCCCAAAGGCUGAUGAGGCUUUGCUGAUGCAGCUGUUUAUUUCAAUGUCAAGGGAACAGUCUGGGAAAAGUGUGGAACCAAGCUACUCUGUCAAUCCCUGCUGUACUGCAAAGAGGACAUCCUGGGCUUUCUAGUGAUAUGUCAUGUGUGAGUGGUAUGCUGGGAAAUUCCACUUUCUUUUCAUUCAAAAUGGACAGCAUAGCAGCAAGCGCAUUUUAUGGAAAUAGGAGUGGAGACAGAACUGAAGCAGAGAGGAUUCUUUACUGGAUAGCUGAGGUAAAUUCAGAUUUGGUGCUGUCAGAUGAUGAGAUAGAUGAGGAUGAGUUUGAAGAAGAUGGUGAAGAAGAAGAGGAAGAAGAUUCAGGAGGCUCAGGUGAGCAGACAGAUACAGACACAGAGACAGACAGGGACGAGCAGGAAAGACGUCGUCAACUGUGGAGCAGGAGUAGCAUGUAGGUUUUAUUUAGUUCCAGGGUAAUAUAUUCAGUUCCAGUAAUUAGCCACUAUCGAUAAUCAUGGUAACAAAAUACUAUAAAUUACAGUUUUACAGUAAAUGGUUGAUUAAAUGUAAUGUAAUCCCCAUGAUGCAGACAUAUUGCUAUGUGUCGGUUAUAUUUAUCAGUGAUCCUUGAUGUUUGAAGAUUUCCAAAGUGGUGUCAUGAAAUUUAUACGCAUUUCCUCAAGAAUGCAAUGUUUGUGCUUAUGAGUAUGGUCAAUAGGGGACCAUAUCACAUCCAUAACACUGGAAUUAUCCCAGUGAUGCACUAUUACAUGACUGUAUUUAAUCCAAAAAGAGUUGUGUAAGAUUUAAUUAUUAUUCCUACUUACACUUGUGCUAUCUGGGCUUCCUGAGUGUCAAGAUAACUCUACAACCCGUGCAGACUAGAGUCCAAUUCAGUACUUUUCCCAGUACAUUGACAACAAAGUAUUUGAAAAUUUGGCAGCAUUCACAAAUCAAAGAGAGAAAAAUGUCAAGGGAUAGGUUCUUCAAGCUGAGAAGCUCCCUCAAGAUUGCUGAUGAUCUGGAUGUAACAGAGGAAACAAAGAAGGCAGACAUUCUUUGGAGAGUCAGGCCAUUACUUGACCGCAUCAGACAAGGUUGUCUCAGCCUUCCAAAGUCUAAGAAGGUCUGCACUGAUGAGCAAAUCAUCCCUUUCACAGGCCGCUGUCCAGCCAGGCAAUAUGCUCCAGGCAAGCCAAACCCUACUGGCCUAAAGGCCUUUGUCCUUGCAUCUCCAAAUGGUCUGAUGGUGGAUUUCGAAGUGUACCAAGUAGAAGAAUACAGAAGAAGAAUACAUUCAGGGGCCAAAGAUUGGGCGUUGGAGCAGCAGCAGUCCUACGCAUGGUUGAAUCUGUUCCCACAGGAAGUCACCUAUUCUUUGACUGAUUCUUCACAACAAUCGAUCUCAUGGAUACUUUGCUCGCAAAGGGCCUUCCAGCAACUGGAACCAUAAUGAAGAACCGAGUCCCAAAGCAGUGUCAGCUGCCAGGAGACAAGCAGUUGCAAAAAGAGGGGAGAGGAGCAUCAGUGUUGGCAGUCAGAAAGAGUCCUGAGCUGGCAAUCACAAAAUGGUCUAACAACAAACCAGUGCUGAUGGCUUCCACUGUGCAUGGGAAAGAUCCUGAAGAUAUCUGCAUCAGAUGGUCCAACAAAGAAAAAGCCAUGUCCAAGUAAGGAGACCAACAGUGAUCAGACAGUACAAUGACAACAUGGGUGGCGUGGACCUAUGUGACCGCAUGCUGAGCUUUUAUCGCUUGUCAAACAGGACCAAGAAAUGGAAAUCGCGUGUGAUUACUCACUUCUUUGAUGUUGCCAUCACAAACUCCUGGAUCCAAUACAAGUCUGACAGCAAAGCACUUAACAGACCAGCAAAGAACACCGAACAGUACCUGGACUUCAAAUUGCACCUGGCUGAAGAGCUGUCGGAUAGUCCAGAACAUGAUGACAGCAGUGAAGACAGUGAAGAAGAGUAUGAGCCACCAACCAAAAUGUGGAUCCCACAACCAGAGCCAUCUGUGCGCAGACUAGGAGCCAUGCAUAUGCCAGAGAUGGUGGAUAUCAAGCAUGCAGAAAGAUGUAGAAAUAAGGGCUGCAAAAGUAAGACAUACAUGAGGUUUACCAAAUGCAAGAUGUUUCUCUGCAUUACCAAAAAGAGAAAAUGCUUCCAGGAUUAUCACUGCUAAAAAUAAAACAUGCAAAAGAAGAAAUGAAGAAUGAAGAACAACACAAGAUUGAAUAGGUUUGACAAAUAACUAAAUCACAAUAAAAAUAAAUAUAUCUGUUCUACUUUAGUUCUAUUGUUCACUGUUCAAUUAAACACACUUAAAGGACUAAAGAAUGAUAAAUAAUUUUGUUUUUUAAUAAAGUUGAAUGUAUUCUUGGUUUAAUAUCACUCCACAGCCAUAAUCUGUUCAAUUUUUUAUCUUUUAAGUUUGUCUUUUCACACUAAAAUGGUCCUGUGGUCCACUACAGUGGACAUGCAAUAAAAUUAGAAAUAAAAAUAAAUAUUAAAGUCUAAA